UGGGGAAUAUUGCACAAUGGGCGCAAGCCUGAUGCAGCCAUGCCGCGUGUGUGAAGAAGGCCUUCGGGUUGUAAAGCACUUUCAGCGGGGAGGAAGGCGGUGAGGUUAAUAACCUCAUCGAUUGACGUUACCCGCAGAAGAAGCACCGGCUAACUCCGUGCCAGCAGCCGCGGUAAUACGGAGGGUGCAAGCGUUAAUCGGAAUUACUGGGCGUAAAGCGCACGCAGGCGGUCUGUCAAGUCGGAUGUGAAAUCCCCGGGCUCAACCUGGGGACUGCAUUCGAAACUGGCAGGCUAGAGUCUUGUAGAGGGGGGUAGAAUUCCAGGUGUAGCGGUGAAAUGCGUAGAGAUCUGGAGGAAUAACGGUGGCGAAGGCGGCCCCCUGGACAAAGACUGACGCUCAGGUGCGAAAGCGUGGGGAGCAAACAGG
This 429-nucleotide ribosomal RNA is filed under the name Chloroflexota bacterium. RNAcentral describes it as "Chloroflexi bacterium partial 16S ribosomal RNA". It matches the Rfam family "Bacterial small subunit ribosomal RNA", at positions 355 to 776 of the family's 1533-position model. The record is from RNAcentral. Lineage: Bacteria; Bacillati; Chloroflexota.